UCAGGAUGAACGCUGGCGGCGUGCCUUAGGCAUGCAAGUUGAACGAAUCGUAAGAUUAGUGGCGGACGGUCGAGUAACGCGUGGGAAUCUACCUCAAAGUGUAGGAUAGCCAGCCGAAAGGUUGGAUAAUACUGCAUGUGAUCGCAAGAUUAAAGAUUUAUCGCUUUGAGAUGAGCCUGCGUAGGAUUAGCUAGUUGGUGGGGUAAAGGCCUACCAAGGCUACGAUCCUUAGCUGGUCUGAGAGGAUGACCAGCCGGAAUGGGACUGAGACACGGCCCAUACAUCUACGGAUGGCAGCAACCGGGAAUCUUGGACAAUGGGCGAAAGCCUGAUCCAGCGACGCCGCGUGGAGGAUUGAAGGCCCUCGGGUUGUAAACUCCUUUUGGGUGGGAAGAUUAUGACGGUACCACCAGAAUAAGCACCUGCUAACUACGUGCCAGAAGCCUCGGUAAUACGUAGGGUGCAAGCGUUAUCCGGAUUUACUGGGCGUAAAGUGUUGCGUAGGCGGUCCGAUGCAUUUCAUUUGAAAUUCUAUAGCUCAACUAUAGUUCCGGAUGAAAUAUGAUUGGACUUGAUGGUUGGAGAGGGUACUGGAACAGAUCAUGUAGCAGUGAAAUGCGUUGAUAUGAUCUGGAACACCAAAGGCGUAGGCAGGUACCUGGUCAACUCAUGACGCUGAGGCACGAAAGCUUGGGGAGCGAAGCAGAUUAGAGACCUGCGUAGUCCAAGCCGUAAACGAUCCUUGCUAGAUACCCGAUUUUUUUUGGGUGUCGUAAGCUAACGCGUUAAGCAAGGCGCCUGGGGAGUACGGUCGCAAGACUAAAACUCAAAGGAAUUGACGGGGAGGCGCACAAGCAGUGGAGCAUGUGGUUUAAUUCGAUACGAAGCGAAAAACCUCACCAGGGUUUGACAUGUAGAUGCUAAGCCGUAGAAACACGGCCUCCUUCGAGGGUUCUACACAGAUGCUGCAUGGCUGUCGUCAGCUCGUGGCGUGAGCUGUACCGUUAAGUCGGGUAACGAGCGCAACCCGCAUUGUAUGUUAAAUAAUUCAUACAAAACUGCCCCAUUUUUUGGGGAGGAAGGCGCGGAUGACGUCAAGUCAGCACGGCUCUUACACCCUGGGCUACACACAUCCUACAAUGGCGAAUAACAACGAGUUGCAAGCUGGUAACAGCAAGCUAAUCUCUAAAAUUUCGCCUCAGUUCAGAUUGAGGGCUGCAAUUCGCCCUCAUGAAGCCGGAAUUGCUAGUAAUCGCGAAUCAGCAGGUCGCGGUGAAUACGUUCUCGCCUCUUGUACACACCGCCCGUCAAGGCAGCAAAGUUGGGGGCGCCCGAA
RNAcentral lists this ribosomal RNA (1336 nucleotides) under uncultured bacterium. RNAcentral's name for it is "16S ribosomal RNA". It matches the Rfam family "Bacterial small subunit ribosomal RNA". The record is from RNAcentral.